Non-coding RNA from Peromyscus maniculatus bairdii (prairie deer mouse), 900 nucleotides. Lineage: Eukaryota; Metazoa; Chordata; Mammalia; Rodentia; Cricetidae. The record is from RefSeq and is a predicted model, not a curated record.
GCCCUGACUCUCAUAGGCCGUGCUCUGAGGGUUCCUGAAGGAGGUAGAACAGGGCUGCUUUUUUGCAGUCUGGUUCAAGCUGAGCUGAGGGAGACCUGGAGCGGGAGGAUUAACCUCCCAAAUUUCAAGCUCCUCCUACCAAAACUACCAAAGUGAACCAGGAUGCCAGAUCACCACAUGGUGGCGCUGUGGGCCAUUUUAAAAUGCCACUGUGGCCUGGAAAGGAAAAUUGAAGGAAAGGGAUUGUGGACCACUCAAGAACUCCAGAGAUGACGGCUUGAUGGAUUCGAGAGAAAGCUUGCUCACUUAGAAACUGAGAGCAGGAUCUUCAAGGGCUGAUGAAGAACAGCAGCAGAGGAAGCUGCACCUAAGCUGUUAAGAAGAGGCUCAGGGGAGAGGAGCUAUAAGAAGACUCUGAGACCAGACCGCUACCUGGAAGAAAGAGAAGCCAGCCGAGCUGUCGCUAAGAGUUUAGAGCAGAGUCACUUGGAAAAGACAUUCUCCAGCCUGUUGAGCUGCCUGCCGAUGUGCAGAGCGCUCCAGGUUUCCCAGCUUUUGUGAGCUGUCACCUGUGCUGAUGCAGCUGUCUUUGCGCCUGUGAGUGACCUGUGAACUGUCACCCAUGCUUCGGUGAUGCAGCUGUCUUUGCUCCUGUGAGUGACCUGUGAACUGUCACCCAUGCUUCGGUGAUGCAGCUGUCUUUGCGCCUGUGAGUGACCUGUGAACUGUCACCCAUGCUUCGGUGAUGCAGCUGUCUUUGCGCCUGUGGGUGACCCGUGAGCUGUCACCCAUGCUUUGGUAUUGUAGUUGUCUUUGCGCCUGUGGGUGACCCGUGAGCUGUCACCUGUGCUGAUGCAGCUGUCUUUGCGCCUGUGGGUGACCCCAAUAAAACUCAUUGGU